AAAUCAUGUUGUGGGCAUGAACUAACAAGAUCCUUGAGCCACUCCCAUCAUUGGAAGAAUGUCUCAUCUUCCUUUUGGGUGAAGUUCAUGAUCGGCUUUCUGAUGGU
Small nucleolar RNA from Magnolia sinica, 107 nucleotides. Lineage: Eukaryota; Viridiplantae; Streptophyta; Magnoliopsida; Magnoliales; Magnoliaceae. The record is from RefSeq and is a predicted model, not a curated record.